This 470-nucleotide ribosomal RNA is filed under the name uncultured bacterium. RNAcentral describes it as "bacterial SSU rRNA". It matches the Rfam family "Bacterial small subunit ribosomal RNA", at positions 329 to 793 of the family's 1533-position model. The record is from RNAcentral.
GCAGAGCAUCCUAGGGAGGCAGCAGUGGGGAAUAUUGCACAAUGGGCGCAAGCCUGAUGCAGCCAUGCCGCGUGUAUGAAGAAGGCCUUCGGGUUGUAAAGUACUUUCAGCAGUGAGGAAGGUGGGUAUGUUAAUAGCAUACUCAUUUGACGUUAGCUGCAGAAGAAGCACCGGCUAACUCCGUGCCAGCAGCCGCGGUAAUACGGAGGGUGCGAGCGUUAAUCGGAAUUACUGGGCGUAAAGCGCAUGCAGGUGGUUUGUUAAGUCAGAUGUGAAAGCCCGGGGCUCAACCUCGGAAUUGCAUUUGAAACUGGCAAACUAGAGUACUGUAGAGGGGGUAGAAUUUCAGGUGUAGCGGUGAAAUGCGUAGAGAUCUGAAGGAAUACCGGUGGCGAAGGCGGCCCCCUGGACAGAUACUGACACUCAGAUGCGAAAGCGUGGGGAGCAAACAGGAUUAGAUACCCUGAUAG